Molecule: long non-coding RNA, 1635 nt
Organism: Alligator sinensis (Chinese alligator)
Lineage: Eukaryota; Metazoa; Chordata; Crocodylia; Alligatoridae
Exons: 3
Source: RefSeq, a predicted model, not a curated record
UCUGUCUGUAACCGCAGCUCAAGCAAGUUUUCCAGCCUGCACCACUGCCAUCUCGGUGCGAUCCCAAGGUCAAAGAAACCUGCGUGGAACAAAAGUGAGACAGCGCACCUGGUGGCAGUACGCACUGCCCAAAACCAGAGCCUGGCCGGCCAGGGCCACACUCCAGCUGCCGGCCAGAUUCCCAGCUGCAGAGGCAUCGCGGCUGCAGCUCCUCCAUCCCCCAGCUAGCACUUGUAGCAAAGCAGACAUUCUGAGCCAUGGAGGUUGUUCAGAGGACAACAUCUCUGCAACACGAUCUGAUACGCUUGCACAAACAUCACUGGAUGCCAAGGGCUUUUCUGAAAUACAGUUCACUUGAGAUUUAACCAACUUGUCAUCUGGAUCCACAAGAAAGCAGUCAUCUCUAGGUCACAAGCGUCACUGCCAGGGGUCUUGGUGCAACAGUCUAAUACAAUCCCUGAAAAACUCAAACCUGGACAGAGUUAUUUGUAGAAAAGACUUGACCAAAGUAUUCCAUCACCAUUUGAAACAUGCUUUAGUACCUGAAGGGGAUCCAAACUGAGAACAGGACCCAUAAUAACAGCCCCAGAUGUAUCUGAGGCCACAAGCGGGUCACAGUACAAACUUCCAGGCUCUGAACUUUGAAACCACAAUUCACGGCCUCAGACGUGAGAUUAUGAGCUCCGUUUUAUAUUCAUCACUGCCAUGGGAGAGUUUCUGCAAUGCAUUUGAUCCCAGGAAAACAGGGCAAUCUCAGAGUAUGACACAGCAAAGGAGAAACGCAGUCAGAAAGGUCUUUUCCUCGGGAAUGAUAUUUAUAACCAGCAAGUACGAUAAACUACAGAAACCAAAACUGAAAAGGAAACAAAACUUCCAAGGCUGGGGUGCAAGCUGGUCCUGGCUGUGGAGCCCCGCUUCCCCGAGGCCACACUGUCCUCUCUGAACUGAGCAUGGGGGAGGCAGAGGUCUUUGCUUGAACACACAUGCAAGGAGAGGAAAAAACUGGGCUGAGGUUUUCACUGCAAGCAGGUGAUAGCUUUGUACCUUGUCAUUCCCUGAGGCUGCGAGGUAUUUGGCAACAACCCUGUAACUAUGCCAAGCGUGUCACCCUGCAGCCAAAUGGACCACCCUUCACUUUGAUGGACUGCCCAUUGCAGAAUGGGAGGCUUUGAUUUGGGGGAGGGGGGGAGGGCACGGGGGACUAUUAUUAUUUUGAAUUUGCAAGCAGAAAAAAAAAAGGGGACAACAGAUAUAAAAGGAAAGGACCUCCCAAAACUUGACAGUGGCACUCUGAAAUCACAAUCACUGUAAUGGGACCUCCAGCCAAAACCCCCUCCGAGCACUGGGGCAGCAAUAGCCUCCUCCUCCUCCAUGAAUCGCAGCAGGGACAGACCAGCUUUUCAAACAAGUAUUUAUGAUCAAAGGGCAGCAGCAUAUGAUAAAUAUUUAUAUGGUCCAUUAAAUAAUAGUCUGUAUAAAUAUUAUUCAAAAUGUGUGCACUGGAAACCACAGACUUCCCAGUUUAUCCUUAAACAAAUGUGUUAGUUUUCCCACAUCAGCAGUGAAAAAGAGAGAGACAGACAGACAGAGAGACAUAGAGACUGCCAUUUGCAAAAAUAUUUCAUUAAAAAAAGA